This is a long non-coding RNA of Phascolarctos cinereus (koala), 849 nucleotides long. RefSeq lists it as uncharacterized. The record is from RefSeq and is a predicted model, not a curated record. Lineage: Eukaryota; Metazoa; Chordata; Mammalia; Diprotodontia; Phascolarctidae.
UCUCUCUCUCUCUCUCUCUCUCUCUCUCUCUCUCUCUCUCUCUCCCUCCAAGUCUGGCACUGAACAACGAACUGUUUUGCCUUGCUCCCGGGAAGAGUGCAGACACAUUACGUGAAAUCCAGAGCGUUUUGCGUGGUGCAUUUAAAACGCUUCACUCACCUCUCCCAUCCCCUCACCAGUCUUUCCAAAUUUCCCUAGAAAUCUGUGUAAGGAUUGCGGAUGGGAAAACAUUUGCAAAAAAAAAAAGUGAGGAGCCUUUUGCCAAAGGAAAGAGGCUGAGUACUUUGCUUUGCUCAGCCACAAAGAUCAGAGGAUUCAGGACUAGAGGGGACCUUCAAGUCCACACCCCUCAUUUCACAGAUGACGAAUGAAGGAAAGUGACUUACACAUUACACAGGUCCCCGUUACUCCUUUUGCUGUUAUGCCACGUGGAGCUCCAAGGAAGCAAAAAUGGGGGAAUAGCAGAAGUUCUGGGGACAGUACUGACAUGACAGGAGAACAAGAUGAUGAAACUAAGGCUCCAAGAUGAUAAGUGACUUUUCCUAAGGCCACAACAGCUAAAGCUUCCUGCUGAAGAAAGAACCCUGAAAGAAAGUCUACAUAUGUACUUCAAGACUUCCAGGGAGUUUUCCUCCAAGAUUAAUAGAACUAUGAUGGCUUUAAUUGGUUGUUUAAUAUUUUAAUUUUCAAUUCAUACUUUCUUAUCUGAAAACCCUUUAUUCAUUUUGAGGAAAAUUAUCCCUACCGGCCAUGAUUAAAAAAAAAUUCAUUACAUUGAGUGAAGAAAUGGUCAGCCUUCAUAUUCCUUAGUAUCCUAGUUUAUUUCAUAAAAAAUUGUCUAAGGUAGUG